UUUAAAUUGAGAGUUUGAUCCUGGCUCAGGACGAACGCUGGCGGCGUGCCUAACACAUGCAAGUCGAGCGAUGAAGCUUCCUUCGGGAAGUGGAUUAGCGGCGGACGGGUGAGUAACACGUGGGUAACCUGCCUCAAAGAGUGGGAUAGCCUCCCGAAAGGGAGAUUAAUACCGCAUAACAUUAUUUUAUGGCAUCAUAAAAUAAUCAAAGGAGCAAUCCGCUUUGAGAUGGACCCGCGGCGCAUUAGCUAGUUGGUGAGGUAACAACC
RNAcentral lists this ribosomal RNA (269 nucleotides) under Clostridium botulinum C/D str. BKT2873. RNAcentral describes it as "partial 16S ribosomal RNA". It matches the Rfam family "Bacterial small subunit ribosomal RNA", at positions 1 to 265 of the family's 1533-position model. The record is from RNAcentral. Lineage: Bacteria; Bacillati; Bacillota; Clostridia; Eubacteriales; Clostridiaceae.